AUACGGAGGGUGCAAGCGUUAUCCGGAAUCAUUGGGUUUAAAGGGUCCGUAGGCGGACUAUUAAGUCAGAGGUGAAAUCCCACAGCUCAACUGUGGAACUGCCUUUGAUACUGGUAGUCUUGAGUUAUAUGGAAGUAGAUAGAAUGUGUAGUGUAGCGGUGAAAUGCAUAGAUAUUACACAGAAUACCGAUUGCGAAGGCAGUCUACUACGUAUAUACUGACGCUAAGGGAUGAAAGCGUGGGGAGCGAACAGGAUUAGAAACCCUAGUAGUCC
This 274-nucleotide ribosomal RNA is filed under the name uncultured bacterium. RNAcentral's name for it is "partial 16S ribosomal RNA". It matches the Rfam family "Bacterial small subunit ribosomal RNA", at positions 523 to 796 of the family's 1533-position model. The record is from RNAcentral.